Molecule: ribosomal RNA, 711 nt
Filed under: Shigella sp.
Lineage: Bacteria; Pseudomonadati; Pseudomonadota; Gammaproteobacteria; Enterobacterales; Enterobacteriaceae
Description: bacterial SSU rRNA
Rfam family: Bacterial small subunit ribosomal RNA
Source: RNAcentral
UUGAACGCUGGCGGCAGGCCUAACACAUGCAAGUCGAACGGUAACAGGAAGCAGCUUGCUUCUUCGCUGACGAGUGGCGGACGGGUGAGUAAUGUCUGGGAAACUGCCUGAUGGAGGGGGAUAACUACUGGAAACGGUAGCUAAUACCGCAUAACGUCGCAAGACCAAAGAGGGGGACCUUCGGGCCUCUUGCCAUCGGAUGUGCCCAGAUGGGAUUAGCUUGUGGUGGGGUAACGGCUCACCAGGCGACGAUCCCUAGCUGGUCUGAGAGGAUGACCAGCCACACUGGAACUGAGACACGGUCCAGACUCCUACGGGAGGCAGCAGUGGGGAAUAUUGCACAAUGGGCGCAAGCCUGAUGCAGCCAUGCCGCGUGUAUGAAGAAGGCCUUCGGGUUGUAAAGUACUUUCAGCGGGGAGGAAGGGAGUAAAGUUAAUACCUUUGCUCAUUGACGUUACCCGCAGAAGAAGCACCGGCUAACUCCGUGCCAGCAGCCGCGGUAAUACGGAGGGUGCAAGCGUUAAUCGGAAUUACUGGGCGUAAAGCGCACGCAGGCGGUUUGUUAAGUCAGAUGUGAAAUCCCCGGGCUCAACCUGGGAACUGCAUCUGAUACUGGCAAGCUUGAGUCUCGUAGAGGGGGGUAGAAUUCCAGGUGUAGCGGUGAAAUGCGUAGAGAUCUGGAGGAAUACCGGUGGCGAAGGCGGCCCCCUG